This 467-nucleotide ribosomal RNA is filed under the name uncultured bacterium. RNAcentral describes it as "partial 16S ribosomal RNA". It matches the Rfam family "Bacterial small subunit ribosomal RNA", at positions 28 to 507 of the family's 1533-position model. The record is from RNAcentral.
GACGAACGCUGGCGGCGUGCUUAACACAUGCAAGUCGAACGGAAAGGCCCUGCUUUUGUGGGGUGCUCGAGUGGCGAACGGGUGAGUAACACGUGAGUAACCUGCCCUUGACUUUGGGAUAACUUCAGGAAACUGGGGCUAAUACCGGAUAGGAGCUCCUGCUGCAUGGUGGGGGUUGGAAAGUUUCGGCGGUUGGGGAUGGACUCGCGGCUUAUCAGCUUGUUGGUGGGGUAGUGGCUUACCAAGGCUGUGACGGGUAGCCGGCUGAGAGGGUGACCGGCCACAUUGGGACUGAGAUACGGCCCAGACUCCUACGGGAGGCAGCAGUGGGGAAUAUUGCACAAUGGGCGGAAGCCUGAUGCAGCAACGCCGCGUGCGGGAUGACGGCCUUCGGGUUGUAAACCGCUUUCGCCUGUGACGAAGCGUGAGUGACGGUAAUGGGUAAAGAAGCACCGGCUAACUACGUG